ACUCAAAGGAAUAGACGGGGGCUCACACAAGCGGUGGAGCAUGUUGCUUAAUUCGAGGCAACGCGAAGAACCUUACCUGGGCUUGACAUGUACGGAUUAACUCCUUGAAAGAGGAGCCACACCCUUCGGGUGGAACGUGCACAGGUGCUGCAUGGCUGUCGUCAGCUCGUGCUGUGAAGUGUCGGGUUAAGUCCCUUAACGAGCGCAACCCCUGUCGCUAGUUGCUCGCGCAAGCAGUACUCUAGCGAGACUGCCGGUGUCAAACCGGAGGAAGGUGGGGACGACGUCAAGUCCUCAUGGCCCUUACGCCCAGGGCUGCAAACGUGCUACAAUGGUGCAUACAAAGCGACGCAAGAGCGCAAGCUGGAGCAAAUCGCAAAAAAUGCACCCCAGUUCGGAUUGCAGGCUGCAAUUCGCCUGCAUGAAGCCGGAAUCGCUAGUAAUCGUGGAUCAGCUACGCCACGGUGAAUGUGUUCCUGAGCCUUGUACACACCGCCCGU
This 500-nucleotide ribosomal RNA is filed under the name uncultured bacterium. RNAcentral's name for it is "partial 16S ribosomal RNA". It matches the Rfam family "Bacterial small subunit ribosomal RNA", at positions 899 to 1397 of the family's 1533-position model. The record is from RNAcentral.